RNAcentral lists this ribosomal RNA (800 nucleotides) under uncultured bacterium. RNAcentral's name for it is "bacterial SSU rRNA". It matches the Rfam family "Bacterial small subunit ribosomal RNA", at positions 8 to 821 of the family's 1533-position model. The record is from RNAcentral.
AGAGUUUGAUCCUGGCUCAGGACGAACGCUGGCGGCGUGCUUAACACAUGCAAGUCACGGGGGCCCGCAAGGGUAACCGGCGAACGGGUGCGUAACACGUGAGCAAUCUGCCGUCCACUGGGGGAUAGCCGGCCCAACGGCCGGGUAAUACCGCAUACGCUUGCCGGGUGGCAUCACUUAGCAAGGAAACCUCCGGGGGUGGACGAGGAGCUCGCGGCCUAUCAGCUAGUUGGUGGGGUCACGGCCCACCAAGGCGAUGACGGGUAGCUGGUCUGAGAGGAUGGCCAGCCACAUUGGGACUGAGAUACGGCCCAGACUCCUACGGGAGGCAGCAGUGGGGAAUAUUGCGCAAUGGCCGCAAGGCUGACGCAGCGACGCCGCGUGGGGGAUGAAGCAUUUCGGUGUGUAAACCCCUGUUGCCCGGGACGAACCUCCCCUUUCGAGGGGACUGACGGUACCGGGUGAGGAAGCACCGGCUAACUCCGUGCCAGCAGCCGCGGUAAUACGGAGGGUGCGAGCGUUGUCCGGAAUCACUGGGCGUAAAGGGCGCGUAGGCGGUGACUUAAGCGUGUGGUGAAAGCCCGGGGCUCAACCCCGGGUCGGCCGUGCGAACUGGGUCACUCGAGCACUGUAGAGGCAGGUGGAAUUCCGGGUGUAGCGGUGGAAUGCGUAGAGAUCCGGAAGAACACCAGUGGCGAAGGCGGCCUGCUGGGCAGUAGCUGACGCUGAGGCGCGACAGCGUGGGGAGCAAACAGGAUUAGAUACCCUGGUAGUCCACGCCGUAACGAUGGGCACUAGGU